This 178-nucleotide unclassified non-coding RNA is filed under the name rhizosphere metagenome. RNAcentral's name for it is "partial ribosomal RNA internal transcribed spacer region". The record is from RNAcentral.
AAUGAAGCCGGGAAACCGGUCCUUCUAACCCUUGAUUAUAAUAAUUUGUUGCUCUGGUGGGCCGCGCAAGCACCGGCUUCGGCUGGAUCGUGCCCGCCAGAGGACCACAACUCUGUAUCAAAUGUCGUCUGAGUACUAUAAAGUAGUUAAAACCUUCAACAACGGAUCUCUUGGUUCU